Molecule: transfer RNA, 67 nt
Filed under: Marmota monax (woodchuck)
Lineage: Eukaryota; Metazoa; Chordata; Mammalia; Rodentia; Sciuridae
Description: tRNA.Ala
Source: RNAcentral
GUACAGCUCAGUGGUAGAGUGCCUGCCUAGCAUGCACAGGGCUCUGGGUUCAAAUUCUAGCAAUACA